GUCAUAAUACUUUUAGACCUGUUUUUGGGAUGUUUUGUGGGAAAAUUUUUCAAUAUAUGUUCAUCUUGUAUGUUCUGGUUUUGUUGUCAUUCCUAGCUUGUCGAGCCAACAUUUUCCUUCUGUUGUGUCACCCAUGCACAACUUAACAAUUUCGUAAAGCUUUUUUGUACAGCUUUUUAUACGUUACCAAUCAGACCCAAAAAUAAAAUUGGUGAAAAAUCGAUUGGCCAGAUGUGGGGGACACAACGCUUUAGGAUAACAAGAUUUGAGAUCUACGACGUCAAAACGAUUUAGAAAAUAAAUGUAUUAUGACCUUCAAAUUGCUUAAUGAAAACGACAAUGCACAAAAGAAACAAUAAAGUGGAAGAGAAGUGAAGAGAGAGGAGGAGGACCAACGAUGUCAUGCUUUAGUUGCUUACGUUGGCUUCAGGUGCAAGACGCAUGAAGUCCUCAUGAAAAAAAAAGUGGCUCCGCUAGCUAUUAUGGCUUAUCCAUAGUGUUCGGUGUUUUAAUAAAAAUAUAUAUCCCUGUUUUUUUUUUUUCUAUUAGCCA
Non-coding RNA from Camelina sativa (false flax), 552 nucleotides. The record is from RefSeq and is a predicted model, not a curated record. Lineage: Eukaryota; Viridiplantae; Streptophyta; Magnoliopsida; Brassicales; Brassicaceae.